Molecule: ribosomal RNA, 253 nt
Filed under: uncultured bacterium
Lineage: Bacteria
Description: partial 16S ribosomal RNA
Rfam family: Bacterial small subunit ribosomal RNA
Source: RNAcentral
UACGUAGGGGGCAAGCGUUGUCCGGAAUUAUUGGGCGUAAAGCGCACGUAGGCGGCUUAGCAAGUCGGAUGUGAAAUCCCUCGGCUCAACCAAGGAAGUGCAUCCGAAACUGCUGAGCUUGAGUACUUAAGAGGAUCGCGGAAUUCCCGGUGUAGAGGUGAAAUUCGUAGAUAUCGGGAGGAACACCAGUGGCGAAGGCGGCGAUCUGGGAAGAUACUGACGCUGAGGAGCGAAAGCGUGGGGAGCGAACAGG